This 808-nucleotide ribosomal RNA is filed under the name Bacillus cereus. RNAcentral describes it as "bacterial SSU rRNA". It matches the Rfam family "Bacterial small subunit ribosomal RNA", at positions 38 to 823 of the family's 1533-position model. The record is from RNAcentral. Lineage: Bacteria; Bacillati; Bacillota; Bacilli; Caryophanales; Bacillaceae.
GGGGGGGGGGGUGCUAUACAUGCAAGUCGAGCGAAUGGAUUAAGAGCUUGCUCUUAUGAAGUUAGCGGCGGACGGGUGAGUAACACGUGGGUAACCUGCCCAUAAGACUGGGAUAACUCCGGGAAACCGGGGCUAAUACCGGAUAACAUUUUGAACCGCAUGGUUCGAAAUUGAAAGGCGGCUUCGGCUGUCACUUAUGGAUGGACCCGCGUCGCAUUAGCUAGUUGGUGAGGUAACGGCUCACCAAGGCAACGAUGCGUAGCCGACCUGAGAGGGUGAUCGGCCACACUGGGACUGAGACACGGCCCAGACUCCUACGGGAGGCAGCAGUAGGGAAUCUUCCGCAAUGGACGAAAGUCUGACGGAGCAACGCCGCGUGAGUGAUGAAGGCUUUCGGGUCGUAAAACUCUGUUGUUAGGGAAGAACAAGUGCUAGUUGAAUAAGCUGGCACCUUGACGGUACCUAACCAGAAAGCCACGGCUAACUACGUGCCAGCAGCCGCGGUAAUACGUAGGUGGCAAGCGUUAUCCGGAAUUAUUGGGCGUAAAGCGCGCGCAGGUGGUUUCUUAAGUCUGAUGUGAAAGCCCACGGCUCAACCGUGGAGGGUCAUUGGAAACUGGGAGACUUGAGUGCAGAAGAGGAAAGUGGAAUUCCAUGUGUAGCGGUGAAAUGCGUAGAGAUAUGGAGGAACACCAGUGGCGAAGGCGACUUUCUGGUCUGUAACUGACACUGAGGCGCGAAAGCGUGGGGAGCAAACAGGAUUAGAUACCCCUCUGGAGACUGCCAAGGCACACGGGGGAAUAGGGAU